GACGAACGCUGGCGGCGUGCUUAACACAUGCAAGUCGAACGGAAAGGCCCUGCUUUUGUGGGGUGCUCGAGUGGCGAACGGGUGAGUAACACGUGAGUAACCUGCCCUUGACUUUGGGAUAACUUCAGGAAACUGGGGCUAAUACCGGAUAGGAGCUCCUGCUGGAUGGUGGGGGUUGGAAAGUUUCGGCGGUUGGGGAUGGACGCGCGGCUUAUCAGCUUGUUGGUGGGGUAGUGGCUUACCAAGGCUUUGACGGGUAGCCGGCCUGAGAGGGUGACCGGCCACAUUGGGACUGAGAUACGGCCCAGAGUCCUACGGGAGGCAGCAGUGGGGAAUAUUGCACAAUGGGCGGAAGCCUGAUGCAGCAACGCCGCGUGCGGGAUGACGGCCUUCGGGUUGUAAACCGCUUUCGCCUGUGACGAAGCGUGAGUGACGGUAAUGGGUAAAGAAGCACCGGCUAACUACGUG
RNAcentral lists this ribosomal RNA (468 nucleotides) under uncultured bacterium. RNAcentral's name for it is "partial 16S ribosomal RNA". It matches the Rfam family "Bacterial small subunit ribosomal RNA", at positions 28 to 507 of the family's 1533-position model. The record is from RNAcentral.